This 274-nucleotide long non-coding RNA is filed under the name Homo sapiens (human). Its description in RNAcentral is "long non-coding RNA NONHSAT213444". The record is from RNAcentral. Lineage: Eukaryota; Metazoa; Chordata; Mammalia; Primates; Hominidae.
GGCGGCGGCAGACACUUGGGGUCUGGACGCAACGGAGGCGGGAGCGUGAACGCCCCUCCAGCCUUCGAGUCGUUCUUGCUCUUCGAGGGCGAGAAGAAGAUCACCAUUAACAAGGACACCAAGGUACCCAAUGCCUGUUUAUUCACCAUCAACAAAGAAGACCACACACUGGGAAACAUCAUUAAAUCACAGUGUGACCUAAAGGACCCGCAAGUGCUAUUUGCUGGCUACAAAGUCCCCCACCCCUUGGAGCACAAGAUCAUCAUCCGAGUGC